Molecule: long non-coding RNA, 214 nt
Filed under: Musa acuminata (dwarf banana)
Lineage: Eukaryota; Viridiplantae; Streptophyta; Magnoliopsida; Zingiberales; Musaceae
Description: long non-coding RNA (MACU_LNC009733)
Source: RNAcentral
AUUCAUCAUUUUGACGGCUACAGCUUCAAAGUCGUCGAUGGGGAGAUGACUACGCUCAGCAUGGCGCCAUAAUUGUUGCCCAUCACGUUCACGUAAUGGAGAGGCGGACAGGGAUCGAACGACACUUUCGACUUGGAUGCCGACCAGUUCCAAUCACUCGUUUCCUUGCGUCGAGGAGGAUAUCUUCCUUGAGAUACGCUACCCAACGGUGACG